GAUGAACGCUGGCGGCGUGCCUAAUACAUGCAAGUCGAGCGAACAGACGAGGAGCUUUCUCCUCUGACGUUAUCGGCGGACGUGUUAGUAACACGUGGAUAACCUACCUUUAAUACUUGGAUAACUUCGGGAAACCGUAUCUAAUACCGGAUAAUAUAUUUAACCUCAUGUUUCCAUAGUUAUUUACGGUUUUUCUUUCACUUUUAGAUGGAUCCGCGCCGCAUUAGCUAGUUGGUAAGGUAACGGCUUAACAAGGCGACGAUGCGUAGCCGACCUGAGAGGGUGAUCGGACAAACGGGAAGGGAGACACGGACCAGACAACUACGGGAGGGAGCAGUAGGGAAUCUGACGGAAGGGGCGAAAGCAUGACGGAGCAAAGCGGAGUGAGAGAUGAAGGUGUGCGGAUCGUAAAAGUGUGUAAGUAGGGAAGAAAAAAUGUGUAAGUAAAUAUGCAGGGAUUGACGGUAACGAAAAAGAAAGCCACGGCUAACUACGUG
Molecule: ribosomal RNA, 497 nt
Filed under: uncultured bacterium
Lineage: Bacteria
Description: partial 16S ribosomal RNA
Rfam family: Bacterial small subunit ribosomal RNA
Source: RNAcentral